GUGAAUCAUCGAAUCUUUGAACGCAUAUUGCGCCCUCUGGUAUUCCGGGGGGCAUGCCUGUUCGAGCGUCAUUAUCACCCCUCAAGCCCGGCUUGUUGUUGGACGUCGGCGGCGGCCUUUAGUGGCGUACCGCCCGUCUCAAAGAUAAUGACGGCGUCUGUGAGGACACCUGUACACUGAGCUUUCGGGCACGUACUAGGCUGACACUUGCAGACCCGGUCUUUAGGGUUCGCUUCGGCGAGCCCAACUUUUUACCAAGGUUGACCUCGGAUCAGGUAGGAAUACCCGCUGAACUUAAGCAUAUCAAUAAGCGGAGGA
This 318-nucleotide unclassified non-coding RNA is filed under the name Cyphellophora sp. Its description in RNAcentral is "partial contains 5.8S ribosomal RNA, internal transcribed spacer 2, and large subunit ribosomal RNA". The stretch from base 1 to 71 matches the Rfam family "5.8S ribosomal RNA", at positions 84 to 154 of the family's 154-position model. The record is from RNAcentral. Lineage: Eukaryota; Fungi; Ascomycota; Eurotiomycetes; Chaetothyriales; Cyphellophoraceae.